This 253-nucleotide ribosomal RNA is filed under the name uncultured bacterium. Its description in RNAcentral is "partial 16S ribosomal RNA". It matches the Rfam family "Archaeal small subunit ribosomal RNA", at positions 474 to 727 of the family's 1478-position model. The record is from RNAcentral.
UACCAGCACCCCGAGUGGUCGGGACGUUUAUUGGGCCUAGAGCAUCCGUAGCCGGUUCUGCAAGUCUUCCGUUAAAUCCACCUGCUUAACAGAUGGGCCGCGGAAGAUACUAUAGAGCUAGGAGGCGGGAGAGGCAAGCGGUACUCGAUGGGUAGGGGUAAAAUCCGUUGAUCCAUUGAAGACCACCAGUGGCGAAGGCGGCUUGCCAGAACGCGCUCGACGGUGAGGGAUGAAAGCUGGGGGAGCAAACCGG